This 543-nucleotide ribosomal RNA is filed under the name uncultured bacterium. RNAcentral describes it as "bacterial SSU rRNA". It matches the Rfam family "Bacterial small subunit ribosomal RNA", at positions 358 to 916 of the family's 1533-position model. The record is from RNAcentral.
GGAAUCUUGCGCAAUGGGCGAAAGCCUGACGCAGCAACGCCGCGUGCGGGAAGAAGGCUUUCGGGCUGUAAACCGCUUUCAGCAGGAACGAAAAUGACGGUACCUGCAGAAGAAGGAGCGGCCAACUAUGUGCCAGCAGCCGCGGUGAUACAUAGGCUUCAAGCGUUGUCCGGAUUUAUUGGGCGUAAAGAGUUCGUAGGCGGUCAAGUAAGUCGGGUGUGAAAAUUCUGGGCUUAACCCAGAGACGCCACCCGAUACUGCUUAACUUGAGUUCGAUAGGGGAGUGGGGAAUUCCUAGUGUAGCGGUGAAAUGCGCAGAUAUUAGGAGGAACACCGGUGGCGAAGGCGCCACUCUGGAUCGAUACUGACGCUGAGGAACGAAAGCAUGGGUAGCAAGCAGGAUUAGAUACCCUGGUAGUCCAUGCCGUAAACGGUGGGCACUAGGUGUGGGAUUCUAUUAACGAAUUCCGCGCCGUCGCUAACGCAUUAAGUGCCCCGCCUGGGGAGUACGGUCGCAAGACUAAAACUCAAAUGAAUUGACGG